Molecule: ribosomal RNA, 497 nt
Filed under: uncultured bacterium
Lineage: Bacteria
Description: partial 16S ribosomal RNA
Rfam family: Bacterial small subunit ribosomal RNA
Source: RNAcentral
GAUGAACGCUGGCGGCGUGCCUAAUACAUGCAAGUCGAGCGAACAGACGAGGAGCUUGCUCCUCUGACGUUAGCGGCGGACGGGUGAGUAACACGUGGAUAACCUACCUAUAAGACUGGGAUAACUUCGGGAAACCGGAGCUAAUACCGGAUAAUAUAUUGAACCGCAUGGUUCAAUAGUGAAAGACGGUUUUGCUGUCACUUAUAGAUGGAUCCGCGCCGCAUUAGCUAGUUGGUAAGGUAACGGCUUACCAAGGCGACGAUGCGUAGCCGACCUGAGAGGGUGGUCGGCCACACUGGAAGUGAGACACGGUCCAGACUCCGACGGGAGGCAGCAGUAGGGAAUCUUCCGCAAUGGGCGAAAGCCUGACGGAGCAACGCCGCGUGAGUGAUGAAGGUCUUCGGAUCGUAAAACUCUGUUAUUAGGGAAGAACAAAUGUGUAAGUAACUAUGCACGUCUUGACGGUACCUAAUCAGAAAGCCACGGCUAACUACGUG